RNAcentral lists this ribosomal RNA (810 nucleotides) under Arthroderma amazonicum. Its description in RNAcentral is "eukaryotic LSU rRNA". It matches the Rfam family "Eukaryotic large subunit ribosomal RNA", at positions 85 to 912 of the family's 3401-position model. The record is from RNAcentral. Lineage: Eukaryota; Fungi; Ascomycota; Eurotiomycetes; Onygenales; Arthrodermataceae.
AACGGCGAGUGAAGCGGCAAGAGCUCAAAUUUGAAAUCUGGCCUCCUCCGGGGGUCCGAGUUGUAAUUUGUAGAGGAUGCUUCGGGUGUGGCCGCCGUCUAAGUUCCUUGGAACAGGACGUCAGAGAGGGUGAGAAUCCCGUCUUGGGCGGCCGGUCCGCGCCCGUGUGAAGCUCCUUCGACGAGUCGAGUUGUUUGGGAAUGCAGCUCUAAGCGGGUGGUAAAUUUCAUCUAAAGCUAAAUAUUGGCCGGAGACCGAUAGCGCACAAGUAGAGUGAUCGAAAGGUUAAAAGCACCUUGAAAAGGGAGUUAAACAGCACGUGAAAUUGUUGAAAGGGAAGCGCUUGCGGCCAGACUCGGGGGCGGGGUUCAGCGAGCGCUCGUCGCCCGUGCACUCCCCGCUUCCCGGGCCAGCAUCAGUUUCCACGGCCGGUCAAAGGCCUCCGGAAUGUGUCGUCUCUCGGGACGUCUUAUAGCCGGGGGUGCAAUGCGGCCCGUGGGGACUGAGGAACGCGCUCCGGCUCGGAUGCUGGCGUAAUGGCCGUAAGCGGCCCGUCUUGAAACACGGACCAAGGAGUCUAACAUCCACGCGAGUGUUCGGGUGUCAAACCCGUGCGCGCAGUGAAAGCGAACGGAGGUGGGAGCCUUAGGGCGCACCAUCGACCGAUCCUGAAGUCUUCGGAUGGAUUUGAGUAGGAGCGUGGCCGUUGGGACCCGAAAGAUGGUGAACUAUGCCUGAAUAGGGUGAAGCCAGAGGAAACUCUGGUGGAGGCUCGCAGCGGUUCUGACGUGCAAAUCGAUCGUCAAAUUU